RNAcentral lists this ribosomal RNA (474 nucleotides) under uncultured Sphingobacteriales bacterium. Its description in RNAcentral is "bacterial SSU rRNA". It matches the Rfam family "Bacterial small subunit ribosomal RNA", at positions 906 to 1382 of the family's 1533-position model. Lineage: Bacteria; Pseudomonadati; Bacteroidota; Sphingobacteriia; Sphingobacteriales. The record is from RNAcentral.
GGAAUUGACGGGGGCCCGCACAAGCGGAGGAGCAUGUGGUUUAAUUCGAUGAUACGCGAGGAACCUUACCUGGGCUCGAACGUAAGAUGACUGUAGGUGAAAGCUUACAUCUCUUCGGAGCAUUUUACGAGGUGCUGCAUGGUUGUCGUCAGCUCGUGCCGUGAGGUGUCGGGUUAAGUCCCAUAACGAGCGCAACCCCUACCUUUAGUUGCCAUCAGGUUAAGCUGGGGACUCUAAAGGAACUGCCUACGCAAGUAGUGAGGAAGCGGGGAUGACGUCAAAUCAGCACGGCCCUUACGUCCAGGGCUACACACGUGCUACAAUGGCCGAUACAGAGGGCAGCUACCUGGUGACAGGAUGCAAAUCUCCAAAGUCGGUCUCAGUUCGGAUUGCACUCUGCAACUCGAGUGCAUGAAGUUGGAAUCGCUAGUAAUCGCGGAUCAGCAUGCCGCGGUGAAUACGUUCCCGGGCCUU